RNAcentral lists this transfer RNA (65 nucleotides) under Camelus bactrianus (Bactrian camel). It matches the Rfam family "tRNA". Rfam says of the family: Transfer RNA (tRNA) molecules are approximately 80 nucleotides in length. Their secondary structure includes four short double-helical elements and three loops (D, anti-codon, and T loops). Further hydrogen bonds mediate the characteristic L-shaped molecular structure. tRNAs have two regions of fundamental functional importance: the anti-codon, which is responsible for specific mRNA codon recognition, and the 3' end, to which the tRNAs corresponding amino acid is attached (by aminoacyl-tRNA synthetases). tRNAs cope with the degeneracy of the genetic code in two manners: having more than one tRNA (with a specific anti-codon) for a particular amino acid; and 'wobble' base-pairing, i.e. permitting non-standard base-pairing at the 3rd anti-codon position. Lineage: Eukaryota; Metazoa; Chordata; Mammalia; Artiodactyla; Camelidae. RNAcentral also lists the same sequence under 1 other name. The record is from Rfam by way of RNAcentral.
GGUAGAGCUCAGUGGUAGAGCACGUGCUUAGCAUGCAUGAGGUCCUGGGUUCAACCCCCAGUACC